AGUGAACGCUGGCGGUAGGCCUAACACAUGCAAGUCGAACGGCAGCACAGGAGAGCUUGCUCUCUGGGUGGCGAGUGGCGGACGGGUGAGGAAUACAUCGGAAUCUACUCUGUCGUGGGGGAUAACGUAGGGAAACUUACGCUAAUACCGCAUACGACCUACGGGUGAAAGCAGGGGAUCUUCGGACCUUGCGCGAUUGAAUGAGCCGAUGUCGGAUUAGGUAGUUGGCGGGGUAAAGGCCCACCAAGGCGACGAUCCGUAGCUGGUCUGAGAGGAUGAUCAGCCACACUGGAAUUGAGACACGGUCCAGACUCCUACGGGAGGCAGCAGUGGGGAAUAUUGGACAAUGGGCGCAAGCCUGAUCCAGCCAUACCGCGUGGGUGAAGAAGGCCUUCGGGUUGUAAAGCCCUUUUGUUGGGAAAGAAAUCCAGCUGGCUAAUACCCGGUUGGGAUGACAGUACCCAAAGAAUAAGCACCGGCUAACUUCGUGCCAGCAGCCGCCGUAA
RNAcentral lists this ribosomal RNA (506 nucleotides) under uncultured bacterium. RNAcentral's name for it is "partial 16S ribosomal RNA". It matches the Rfam family "Bacterial small subunit ribosomal RNA", at positions 29 to 523 of the family's 1533-position model. The record is from RNAcentral.